CCCCUGGCGUGGCGGAUGCAAACGUAAAAGAAAGCGCGCAAGGGCCCUCGUCCACCCAGCGGCGUCAGCAGCGACACUAACCGACUCCAAGGGACAUCGCGGCUGUCAGGACUGUCACGGCCUUGAGUCACCAGAGGAGCCCGGGCCGAGGCUUUCUGGGACUCUCGGGCUCCCUGAGCCUCGCCGCUGGUGUCAGGGCUCCUGCACAGGAGGACCCCAGGGUCUCCCUCUGUAAGAUGGAAGGGAUGGUGUCAGCCCAAAGGGACCCACGCCGGCGCCAUCAUCUCUGAUUCUCCCUGGCUGGCAAGCAGGGAUCUAGUGGCACCCACAGCUGGCUUGGGGGCCUCCAGGGGGACACAUUCCUCCUGCGGGAACCCAUGAGAGGAGCACAGUGCCCAGACAGUCAUGGCUUCUGGCCUUGACCUUCCUAAGGCCCAGAGAGGUUGCAGGACUCGUUGGAAGACACACAGCAGUCCCUGCCUGCGCUCCAUUCCCCAGCAUUCUCUGCCUGAGGGAUCCAGGAGGGGUCCAGAAGAGGUGCGGCUGUCUGGCCUGAAAGGCCCAUCAGUCCUCAGGCCUGUGGGGCACUGGGAGGCCCAGGCCCGGGGCUUCGAGGGCUUAGGUCCCCGGCUGAGUCUCUGGGAAAGAAUGUUGUCCUUGCCCAGCAAGCCAGCACGUUCCGCUUUCCCUCAAGCAACCAGGCAGAAAGGAUCCCCCAGCAGGAGAGCCCCCACCGCCCGGCUCUACAGCCAGGCCUGGGCACCCAAUAUCUGUGGAGGAUCUACGUCCCAGGAUCACCUCUUCAGCGUCACACUCACCGCUGCACCCCAAAGCCCGCGCAGUUCCGCCAGGUGGAAGAGGAAAAGCUUUCUGCUUCCUCGGCUCACUCCUGUGUGUUCGGACUCACAAGCGGUGUCUUUCUUAGAUGCAGUGUGUCACUUACGCCUGAAGCAAGGGUAGCUCCGACAGAGCCAGGAUGGCAGGGGACCGGAAGGAACAGUGUGAAGCCAGGAACUGGGGCUGCACGUGUCGUCUCCUUGAUCCUCCCAGCAGUCCUGUGCAGGAAGUGUCGUGAUCCUAUUUUGCACCUGAGAAAACAAAGGCUCAGCCCUAAGCAGCUUGUGGCAGGAACUUGCUGCCCUCAUAAAGUGCACUAUUUUGUGGGUUUGUUGUUCAGGCUGGCCUUGAACUCAUACUGCAGCACAGGUGAUGCUCCUGCCUCAGCCUCCUAAGUGCUGGGACUACUGACGUGCAGCACUAUGCUGAUCAUAAAGUGCACUGACUGACUUUUUUAAAUCCCCGAAGGGUCCUUGGAGGCACCUGCAUUGUCCUCACAGAGGACACAGGGACUUGCCCAAGUCAUCUACAAAAGCCAGAAUUCAAAGCCAAGCCCAUGCAGUUCCGAAACACUUCCCCCUGCCUCCAAAUGUCAAUGUUUUCACACUUUGUGGUUGCUUUUAGGCACUGGAAACCUAUGCCUAGGUGUGAUCCAAAUCUUCUCCUCCUGAGAGCCCUGCAUUUGCAGGAAAAUAUUGUGUUUGAGCCUCUACUUGCUGUGUG
Long non-coding RNA from Chinchilla lanigera (long-tailed chinchilla), 1560 nucleotides. The record is from Ensembl. NCBI's taxonomy places the organism in Eukaryota, Metazoa, Chordata, Mammalia, Rodentia, Chinchillidae.